CCCUCUCUUCUGGAAGCCCCUCUGCAGCACUCCUCUUGGGAGUAGAAAAGGAAGUGGUCAAGGGAAUGGGGUUUCGCCGUGUUGUCCAGGCUGGUCUCAAACUCCUGGGCUCAAGCAAUCUGCCCACCUCAGCCUCCCAAAGUGCUGAGAUGACAGGCAUGAGCCACUGUCCCUGGCCCAGACCUACAUUUGGGAGCUGAUCCGUCUUGCUCUCAGUUAGGGCCCAGCCCUUCUGUGGGGACCAGGAAAAUCUUUGCUCACCUGGAGAAGCUGCUGGUUCAGCCCAACUUUAUCUAACGCCAAAGCCUCAUUUAAGGCACUGAGCUUGACAGCUGCAGCCCGAAGAUCAGCUACUUCUGUCUUCAGGGUGUUUUCAGAACUCGACAGCUCUGCAAUUGACUGCUCUGCCUAAAAAACAAAAAGGAUUAAAGAGUUUCAUAUUUCCAAUUUUCCUGGAACAGUAAACAGUUCACAUUCCCAACA
This 483-nucleotide long non-coding RNA is filed under the name Homo sapiens (human). Its description in RNAcentral is "non-protein coding lnc-GDF5-1:3". The record is from RNAcentral. Lineage: Eukaryota; Metazoa; Chordata; Mammalia; Primates; Hominidae.